This 71-nucleotide transfer RNA is filed under the name Penaeus japonicus. RNAcentral describes it as "tRNA-Gly". It matches the Rfam family "tRNA". From Rfam's summary of the family: Transfer RNA (tRNA) molecules are approximately 80 nucleotides in length. Their secondary structure includes four short double-helical elements and three loops (D, anti-codon, and T loops). The record is from RNAcentral. Lineage: Eukaryota; Metazoa; Arthropoda; Malacostraca; Decapoda; Penaeidae.
GUAUCGGUGGUUGAGUGGUAGAAUUCUCGCCUGCCACGCGGGAGGCCCGGGUUCAAGUCCCGGCCGAUGCA